AGCGUACACGGUGGAUGCCCUGGCAGUCAGAGGCGAUGAAGGACGUGCUAAUCUGCGAUAAGCGUCGGUGAGGUGAUAUGAACCGUUAUAACCGGCGAUUUCCGAAUGGGGAAACCCAGUGUGUUUCGACACACUAUCAUUAACUGAAUCCAUAGGUUAAUGAGGCGAACCGGGGGAACUGAAACAUCUAAGUACCCCGAGGAAAAGAAAUCAACCGAGAUUCCCCCAGUAGCGGCGAGCGAACGGGGAGGAGCCCAGAGCCUGAAUCAGUGUGUGUGUUAGUGGAAGCGUCUGGAAAGGCGUGCGAUACAGGGUGACAGCCCCGUACACAAAAAUGCACAUAUUGUGAGCUCGAUGAGUAGGGCGGGACACGUGGUAUCCUGUCUGAAUAUGGGGGGACCAUCCUCCAAGGCUAAAUACUCCUGACUGACCGAUAGUGAACCAGUACCGUGAGGGAAAGGCGAAAAGAACCCCGGCGAGGGGAGUGAAAAAGAACCUGAAACCGUGUACGUACAAGCAGUGGGAGCCUCUUAAUGGGGUGACUGCGUACCUUUUGUAUAAUGGGUCAGCGACUUAUAUUCUGUAGCAAGGUUAACCGAAUAGGGGAGCCGAAGGGAAACCGAGUCUUAACUGGGCGUUAAGUUGCAGGGUAUAGACCCGAAACCCGGUGAUCUAGCCAUGGGCAGGUUGAAGGUUGGGUAACACUAACUGGAGGACCGAACCGACUAAUGUUGAAAAAUUAGCGGAUGACUUGUGGCUGGGGGUGAAAGGCCAAUCAAACCGGGAGAUAGCUGGUUCUCCCCGAAAGCUAUUUAGGUAGCGCCUCGUGAAUUCAUCUCCGGGGGUAGAGCACUGUUUCGGCAAGGGGGUCAUCCCGACUUACCAACCCGAUGCAAACUGCGAAUACCGGAGAAUGUUAUCACGGGAGACACACGGCGGGUGCUAACGUCCGUCGUGAAGAGGGAAACAACCCAGACCGCCAGCUAAGGUCCCAAAGUCAUGGUUAAGUGGGAAACGAUGUGGGAAGGCCCAGACAGCCAGGAUGUUGGCUUAGAAGCAGCCAUCAUUUAAAGAAAGCGUAAUAGCUCACUGGUCGAGUCGGCCUGCGCGGAAGAUGUAACGGGGCUAAACCAUGCACCGAAGCUGCGGCAGCGACACUAUGUGUUGUUGGGUAGGGGAGCGUUCUGUAAGCCUGUGAAGGUGGCCUGUGAGGGUUGCUGGAGGUAUCAGAAGUGCGAAUGCUGACAUAAGUAACGAUAAAGCGGGUGAAAAGCCCGCUCGCCGGAAGACCAAGGGUUCCUGUCCAACGUUAAUCGGGGCAGGGUGAGUCGACCCCUAAGGCGAGGCCGAAAGGCGUAGUCGAUGGGAAACAGGUUAAUAUUCCUGUACUUGGUGUUACUGCGAAGGGGGGACGGAGAAGGCUAUGUUGGCCGGGCGACGGUUGUCCCGGUUUAAGCGUGUAGGCUGGUUUUCCAGGCAAAUCCGGAGAAUCAAGGCUGAGGCGUGAUGACGAGGCACUACGGUGCUGAAGCAACAAAUGCCCUGCUUCCAGGAAAAGCCUCUAAGCAUCAGGUAACAUCAAAUCGUACCCCAAACCGACACAGGUGGUCAGGUAGAGAAUACCAAGGCGCUUGAGAGAACUCGGGUGAAGGAACUAGGCAAAAUGGUGCCGUAACUUCGGGAGAAGGCACGCUGAUAUGUAGGUGAAGCGACUUGCUCGUGGAGCUGAAAUCAGUCGAAGAUACCAGCUGGCUGCAACUGUUUAUUAAAAACACAGCACUGUGCAAACACGAAAGUGGACGUAUACGGUGUGACGCCUGCCCGGUGCCGGAAGGUUAAUUGAUGGGGUUAGCGGCAACGCGAAGCUCUUGAUCGAAGCCCCGGUAAACGGCGGCCGUAACUAUAACGGUCCUAAGGUAGCGAAAUUCCUUGUCGGGUAAGUUCCGACCUGCACGAAUGGCGUAAUGAUGGCCAGGCUGUCUCCACCCGAGACUCAGUGAAAUUGAACUCGCUGUGAAGAUGCAGUGUACCCGCGGCAAGACGGAAAGACCCCGUGAACCUUUACUAUAGCUUGACACUGAACAUUGAGCCUUGAUGUGUAGGAUAGGUGGGAGGCUUUGAAGUGUGGACGCCAGUCUGCAUGGAGCCGGCCUUGAAAUACCACCCUUUAAUGUUUGAUGUUCUAACGUGGGCCCCUAAUCGGGGUUGCGGACAGUGUCUGGUGGGUAGUUUGACUGGGGCGGUCUCCUCCUAAAGAGUAACGGAGGAGCACGAAGGUUGGCUAAUCCUGGUCGGACAUCAGGAGGUUAGUGCAAUGGCAUAAGCCAGCUUGACUGCGAGCGUGACGGCGCGAGCAGGUGCGAAAGCAGGUCAUAGUGAUCCGGUGGUUCUGAAUGGAAGGGCCAUCGCUCAACGGAUAAAAGGUACUCCGGGGAUAACAGGCUGAUACCGCCCAAGAGUUCAUAUCGACGGCGGUGUUUGGCACCUCGAUGUCGGCUCAUCACAUCCUGGGGCUGAAGUAGGUCCCAAGGGUAUGGCUGUUCGCCAUUUAAAGUGGUACGCGAGCUGGGUUUAGAACGUCGUGAGACAGUUCGGUCCCUAUCUGCCGUGGGCGCUGGAGAACUGAGGGGGGCUGCUCCUAGUACGAGAGGACCGGAGUGGACGCAUCACUGGUGUUCGGGUUGUCAUGCCAAUGGCACUGCCCGGUAGCUAAAUGCGGAAGAGAUAAGUGCUGAAAGCAUCUAAGCACGAAACUUGCCCCGAGAUGAGUUCU
Molecule: ribosomal RNA, 2773 nt
Filed under: Escherichia coli
Lineage: Bacteria; Pseudomonadati; Pseudomonadota; Gammaproteobacteria; Enterobacterales; Enterobacteriaceae
Description: bacterial LSU rRNA
Rfam family: Bacterial large subunit ribosomal RNA
Source: RNAcentral